GCCCGGCUAGCUCAAUCGGUAGAGCGUGAGACUCUUAUGAAGUUCUCCAGCAAAUCUCAAGGUUGUGGGUUCGACCCCCACGUCGGGCU
Non-coding RNA from Cladorrhinum samala, 89 nucleotides. The record is from the annotation of a GenBank genome assembly. Lineage: Eukaryota; Fungi; Ascomycota; Sordariomycetes; Sordariales; Podosporaceae.